RNAcentral lists this ribosomal RNA (306 nucleotides) under uncultured bacterium. Its description in RNAcentral is "partial 16S ribosomal RNA". It matches the Rfam family "Bacterial small subunit ribosomal RNA", at positions 507 to 807 of the family's 1533-position model. The record is from RNAcentral.
GACAGCAGUAGCCGCGGUAAUACAGAGGGUGCGAGCGUUAAUCGGAUUUACUGGGCGUAAAGCGUGUGUAGGUUGUUGUUCAAGUCAGUUGUGAAAUCCCUGGGCUCAACCUGGGAACUGCUUCUGAGACUGAACGACUAGAGUACGGUAGAGGGUGGUGGAAUUUCCGGUGUAGCGGUGAAAUGCGUAGAUAUCGGAAGGAACAUCAAUGGCGAAGGCAGCCACCUGGGCCUGUACUGACACUGAGACACGAAAGCGUGGGGAUCAAACAGGAUUAGAUACCCCAGUAGUCCCUGUCUCUUAUAC